RNAcentral lists this ribosomal RNA (509 nucleotides) under uncultured bacterium. Its description in RNAcentral is "bacterial SSU rRNA". It matches the Rfam family "Bacterial small subunit ribosomal RNA", at positions 30 to 507 of the family's 1533-position model. The record is from RNAcentral.
CGAACGCUGGCGGCGUGCUUAACACAUGCAAGUCGACGAAAGGACGGGAAGAGCUUGCUCUUUCCGGAAUUGAGUGGCAAACGGGUGAGUAACACGUAAACAACCUGCCUUCAGGAUGGGGACAACAGACGGAAACGACUGCUAAUACCGAAUAAGUUCCAAGAGCCGCAUGGCCCAUGGAGAAAAGGUGGCCUCUACCUGUAAGCUAUCGCCUGAAGAGGGGUUUGCGUCUGAUUAGCUGGUUGGAGGGGUAACGGCCCACCAAGGCGACGAUCAGUAGCCGGUCUGAGAGGAUGAACGGCCACACUGGAACUGAGACACGGUCCAGACUCCUACGGGAGGCAGCAGUGGGGAAUCUUCCGCAAUGGGCGAAAGCCUGACGGAGCAACGCCGCGUGAGUGAUGACGGCCUUCGGGUUGUAAAACUCUGUGAUCCGGGACGAAAAGGCAGAGUGCGAAGAACAAACUGCAUUGACGGUACCGGAAAAGCAAGCCACGGCUAACUACGUG